This is a long non-coding RNA of Zea mays, 864 nucleotides long. RefSeq lists it as uncharacterized. The record is from RefSeq and is a predicted model, not a curated record. The transcript is spliced from 2 exons. Lineage: Eukaryota; Viridiplantae; Streptophyta; Magnoliopsida; Poales; Poaceae.
GCCAGCCGCAUUCUGGUUCUGUACUUCUGUACUCUGGUUCUAUACGGGGUCUCCAUACUACCCCAGCCUUAUAUCCUCAAGUGGUACGCAUCUCUCCCUGUCAGCCUUAUCUCUCGCUUCCUGUCCACAGCAAGCCGCGCCCCAGCCCGUGGCCAUCGGCCUCUUCUUCGCCGCAUGCUCUCCUUGCUCGAGCUCGCCCACUUCCUGGUGCAUCUUCCUCCUCGCCUCCCAUCUCAGGACCAGGCUGCUCGGCCACGCCCAGCAGCUCCUUGAACGCGCGCCCCUCCGAGCAUCUUGUCCCUUUGUUGGUCGCCAUCUUUCCCAGCUCCCCAGCGCAGGUGGCUGUGCGUUCCCCUUGGCCGGCGUCCUCCCCAUUUUUCUAUAGUUGAGCUUAUCUCUUGCUGUUGAUUGCGUGGUGCAUACGAGCAUGAGUGGGUGUAAUAUAUGCGUAUAUAUGUGUAAGAUUGGAGCUGUGAUUGGAGAAGCGGAUGAGGUUCUUGUGCGACGCUUCCUAUGUGUUUGAUGAAAUGGACAAAUCAAGGUUUGUUAUGGUUGCUGUGAAGUUUUGGGUUGAAUAAAAGUUUUGGUUCGUUACACGUGAUGCGAAGGACAAGAGCCGAGUUGAUCUCAAAAUGAUGAUGGUGAACGAACCUAAGGAUGGAUGAUCUGAUAGAGUGCCAGAAUGGGAGAUGCUCACCAAGUGGUCGUCAUCUAACCGCACUAAUCUAGUGUUAUCCCAGGCAAGCCCUGGUGCAUUUGCCACCUCCUUGCUGUUUUUAAACUUUUAUCACUUAUAUGUUGCAUUAGGUGGUAGGAGUUGAAUGGUUAAACCUUUGUUGCAUAACUUCGUUGAACUAUUGAUUA